ACGGAGGGUGCGAGCGUUAAUCGGAAUGACUGGGCGUAAAGCGCGCGUAGGUGGUUUUUUAAGUUGAAUGUGAAAGCCCUGGGCUCAACCUGGGAACGGCAUCCAAAACUGAGAGACUAGAGUACAGUAGAGGGGGGUAGAAUUUCCGGUGUAGCGGUGAAAUGCGUAGAGAUCGGAAGGAAUACCAGUGGCGAAGGCGGCCCCCUGGACUGAUACUGACACUGAAGUGCGAAAGCGUGGGUAGCAAACAGG
RNAcentral lists this ribosomal RNA (252 nucleotides) under uncultured bacterium. RNAcentral's name for it is "partial 16S ribosomal RNA". It matches the Rfam family "Bacterial small subunit ribosomal RNA", at positions 525 to 776 of the family's 1533-position model. The record is from RNAcentral.